CAGCAGCCGCGGGAAUACGGAGGGUGCAAGCGUUAAUCGGAAUUACUGGGCGUAAAGCGCACGCAGGCGGUCUGACAAGUCAGAUGUGAAAUCCCCGGGCUUAACCUGGGAACUGCAUUUGAAACUGUCAGGCUGGAGUCUUGUAGAGGGGGGUAGAAUUCCAGGUGUAGCGGUGAAAUGCGUAGAGAUCUGGAGGAAUACCGGUGGCGAAGGCGGCCCCCUGGACAAAGACUGACGCUCAGGUGCGAAAGCGUGGGGAGCAAACAGGAUUAGAUACCCGUGUAGUCCCUGUCUCUUAUAU
This 301-nucleotide ribosomal RNA is filed under the name uncultured bacterium. RNAcentral describes it as "partial 16S ribosomal RNA". It matches the Rfam family "Bacterial small subunit ribosomal RNA", at positions 509 to 809 of the family's 1533-position model. The record is from RNAcentral.